AGAAACAGUACAUUCAAGAAAGUCAGUAUCGCGGACUGGGUAUGAGAUUACAGUUGGAAGCUACUUUUCUGUUUGUGGAUAUGACAAGCCACGCACGGGCGAAUGACGGUCACAGGGAGCCUGGAGCCUAUCCCAGAGGACUUGGGGCACAAGGUGGGGGACACCCUGGACGGGGUGCUAACCCAUCGUAGUGCACAAUCCCACACACUCGCACACUCAUUCUCACACUACAGACCAUUUGGAAAUGCCAAUCAGCCUACAAUGCAUGUUUAUGGACUGGGAGAGGAAACCGGAGUACCCAGAGGAAGACCCUAAAGCAUGGGAAGAACAUGCAAGCUCUGCGCACACACAGGGCAGAAGUGGGAAUCGAACCACAAACCCUCUUCCUCCAGCUGCUGCACUGAGCUUCACGGUGUGUUCACCUGGGACAUCAGGUCAGACUUCUCACUGUCCAGCUGAGCACUGGACUUGAUCGCUGGCCCAUAUUUCCCUUCAGCUUCAGCCACAGUGACCUGGAAGUUCAAAAACUGGCUUUAUUUACUUCUAUACCCCACACACAUUCAGACACUGUUGUGGACUUGAUUCGUCACUCAUCAGAUCAGCCUGAAAUGUUUUGCGGACACAGGACCAAAUGUCUUCACAACAUGACUGAACAAGGAUCAACACAGACAGUUCACAAUAGCAGUCAUAAUUACAUGAGAAGAAGAAGUUGAAAAGAUUACUCUUAGUGACUCCUUGUUGUGUGAUUGAGUUUCCUUCAUUUCAUCAUACGACAACUUCAGGUCACUGUGAGUUUCCCGCUCACGCUUACACUCCUAAAACACAGUCAUGGAGCAAAAGACAUUUUUAACUUAGUGCUAAACUAGCUGCUUCACUUCAAUGAAGAAGGAAUAACUUCAAAGUAGAGUGAAUUUUGGUCAUGUAGAAUUUGUGAAUUUUACGUUUUUGUUUACAUUACAAGUAUUUUUCUUUAGUUUAUAAGGCUGUCUUGCUGAAACACAUGUAAAGUAAAAAUACCCAAAUUAAAUAAAUUCACUCUCUCUAAGCCUACCUCCUGAGUUCUCAACUUCCUCAUGCCAACCAGGGUGCAACAGUCUCUGAUGGCUCAUUUGAAUUUUAUCAUGAAAGAAACAAAAACGGUCGGAGCACAGAAAAAUCGUAGCGGAGUUACAGCUUCCUGUAGCCUUAUUACAUAAAGUUGACUUGGCAGGGGAAUUGGCAUCCGUGUUCUCAACAUUCUACGAGGGCGAAC
Ictalurus punctatus (channel catfish) is the source of this 1252-nucleotide long non-coding RNA. Lineage: Eukaryota; Metazoa; Chordata; Actinopteri; Siluriformes; Ictaluridae. The record is from Ensembl.